Anolis carolinensis (green anole) is the source of this 3343-nucleotide long non-coding RNA. The record is from Ensembl. NCBI's taxonomy places the organism in Eukaryota, Metazoa, Chordata, Lepidosauria, Squamata, Anolidae.
AUCCAGUCUAUCAGAGGGACUUCAUGUAUCACAAUGCUGCAAACUACUGCUGAUAUUCAAAAGUACAGUAGAGUCUCGCUUAUCCAAGCUAAACGGGCUGGCAGAAGCUUGGAUAAGCGAAUAUCUUGGAUAAUAAGGAGGGAUUAAGGAAAAGCCUAUUAAACAUCAAAUUAGGUUAUGAUUAUACAAAUUAAGCACCAAAACAUCAUGUUAUACACCAAAUUUGACAGAAAAAGUAGUUCAAUGCACAGUAAUGUUAUGUUGUAAUUACUGUAUUUACUAAUUUAGCACCAAAAUAUCACAAUAUAUUGAAAAAAUUGACUACAAAAAUGGCUUGGAUAAUCCAGAAACUUGGAUAAGCGAGGCUUGGAUAAGUGAGACUCUACUGUAAUUCUAUAUGAUGAACUUACACUCCCUAUAACUAAAAUGAUUUCUUCUUGAAGCAAGAAUGGCCAAAUUAUCUCUCAUUGUAUUACACUGAUAAGGUAAAUUAGUUAUGCUUGGUUAUUGAAAAAGAAAUUAGUUAUAAGUAUCUCAUUGUUUGUAGCAUGUUAUUUCCAAAAAAGGCUACCAGGUAGUGAGGCCAUAAGGUAAUUUGAUGGUAGUUAUACAACUGCAUUUCUGUUCCUGCCUGUUUUUUCUCCCUUGUUCCUCUGCACCUCAUCUAACACAGGUGAAUGCAGUUUGUGUUUAUGUGUUUUGAUUGUUCUGUGGCCCAGCUCGAGCCGCGAGGAGAGGUGGGUAAGAAAUUGAAUUAUUCUUAUUAUUUCUAUUAUUACCAUUAUUAUUCCUCUGAGGCCGUAAAAAUGUGACUUGCUCAAUGGGUCUGUGUGACUAAGCAGGGAUAUGAACCAUAGUCUUCCACAGCCCUAGUCAAACACUAUACUAUGUAAUCUUUUGGAAAAUGGCAUUCACAACCAUUUGGAGUUCAUAACCUUUUGGAUAAGUUUGAUCUUUCAGAGAAGAGCCAAAAACCCAUUUGAGUAGAAUCUUCUCAUAUGGUAUACAACCAAAUGUAAUAUGCAACACAAUGGCUUCAGUUGUUAGACUGAACCUAUUGUCUCUGAUCUGUUAGGAACAGAGAAUAUAGCAGUGCAUAGAAGCAGCAGAGUUUCAGAGGUGUUUUUCAGUGCCCGAAAUAUAUCUACUCUCCCAUAAAACAACUAGUUUUAUAUAAUGCACUCAAGAGACAGCAAUGAAAUAGUCUUUGGUUUAUUAAUAUCAUAUUUGGUUUAUUCACAACUUCAUGUGUUCAGCAUAACACAGUUACAUAGCUUAUCAGUUCGGUUUCAGAUAUAUUUAAGAUAGUUUCUCUAUGCAGAUGACAUAAGGCAUCUUUCUUACAGCAUCAAGCAAGCAAGAGUUGGUCUCAGCAGUCCAAAGUCUAAGAAAGAUCUAAAAUGGCAUCUGAGGUCUGAGCAGUCUCAGAUCAGAUCACGUGGUCUGCAGCCCCUCCCACAACCUCUCAGAAAACAUAGAGCAAGAGAAGCUUCAUAUCAGAACAUAUAUAUAAAACAGUAAACAAACAGAAUCAUAGAUUAACAAAUUACUAGAGGAGGCUUGAAGAAGGUUCUAAUUUCCAACAUAAUCUGUUGUUACAUUUUAUCCAUUGUAUGGUCUCAGAUAUAUGAAAUAUAACUGCGUAUAAUUUCAUAUAAAUGUGAAUAAGUAAAAUAAGUUUAAAGCAAGAAAUAGGACUGGGGAGGGGCACCAUAAAGGAGCAGAGAUGUUUAGAUGAGAAAGGAAAUACCUCAGGUUUGUGUGGGUGCCAUGACCUCCUUUCCUGGUGUUGUGGGGAACCAUGAAAGUAGGUCUUGCCUUGGCCUAUAGCACACCUGAAUCAAGGGAGAGCUGGCCAGGAUGGAGGGUCUCUAUAGAAACGGAGCAGUGAAGGGUAGGACCAGGGUGAGGGAUAUGUGGAGAUGAGAGGGAAAGCAACUUUCAGAUAGAACUUUGCUUGUAACCAUACUGUAUGAUUUGAGAAAUAAAAGCCUUCCAGUCCGCCUAUGAGGUAAUUUCUUCUUUAGAGAGCUGCAGAGCAGCACAGUGGGGUUAAUAUAACUGCAGUUGCUUCCAGCUUUAUCUAUAUAUAUAUAAAUGUAAUGUUCGUUUUACUAUGGAGUAACCAACAAAACCACUGAACCAAAUCACACCAAAUGUGGCCAGAAAAGACAGUCAUCCAAAAUAUGUCUUUCAAUUAAAAAAAAACCUAGAAAAAUAGUCCAAAUUACAGAGGAUGAGGAAGAGCCUUUCUCCCCCUAACUGCCAAUUAGAAAGGUAGGCUCUGCUGCCUUUAGCCCCCCCCCCCCUUUUGCUGGUUUAAGCCCUGCCCGCUUCGUAUCCUAUCAACUUCCUCAGCCAAAAUGGCACCCAGGGCAGAGGCCGAGUGCACUUAGGCCUGAUCCACACUGCCUAUAAAAUGCAGAUUAUCUGAUUUGAACUGGAUUAUAUGGCAGUGUAGACUCAAGGUCCUUCCACACAGCUAUAUUACCCAUUUAUAAUCUUAUAUGAUCUACUUUGGACUGGAUUAUCUUGAGUCCACACUGCCAUAUAAUCCACUUCAGUGUGGAUUUUAUACAGCUGUGUAGAAGGGGCCUCAUAUAAUCUACUUCUAAGCAGAUAAUAUAAGGUUAUAAAUAUAAUAUGAAAUCAUUACUGUGGUAUAAUAAUACAGAACAAUAUAAUCUCUAAAACCAGGACAAUAAAUAAAGAGCUACACUCUGAAAGCAGGGAAAUUGGGAAUUCCAGAAAGGAAACAAUCAGGGCCAGCUAACACUUCCCAACAAAGGAUUCCUCCCAGGCAGGAAGCAGCCAAGCUUUGAAGCUGCAAGGCCAUUAAAUGCUAAUCAAGGUGGCUAAUUGCAGCAUUCAUACCUGCCAUACUGAGACUAUUAAUUGCUAUUCAAACUGGCCAACCAAGGAUUCUGCAAGGUAGAAAGCGGCCAGGCUUGUAAGCAGCAAGGCUAUUCAGUGCUCUUCAACCUGACCAACCAAGAUUUCCCCUAGGUGAAAAAUCCCCAGGCUUUGAAGCCACUAGGCUACUUUGUCCCAUUCAACCUGGCCUAGCAAAGAUGCCCUAUGUAGAAAGCAGCCAGGCUUUUAAGCUGCAAGUCUAUUCAGUGCAAUUCAAGCUGCCCAAACAAUGAUUCCCCUACAAAGGAAGUAGCCAGGCUUCAAAGCGGCGCUUUGAUUGAGGGUGCUACUCCAGCUACUCUAGAAAACGGCCAGGCUUUGAGACUGCAAGGCUAUUUACUGCUAUUCCACCUGGCCAUCAAAUGAUUCCCAUAAGCCACAGCAACGCAUGGUCAGGCAAAGCUAAUAAUAAAUAAAAGUUCUUACUAGA